This is a long non-coding RNA of Lolium rigidum, 400 nucleotides long. RefSeq lists it as uncharacterized. The transcript is spliced from 2 exons. NCBI's taxonomy places the organism in Eukaryota, Viridiplantae, Streptophyta, Magnoliopsida, Poales, Poaceae. The record is from RefSeq and is a predicted model, not a curated record.
CGGCGAGGAGAGGAGCGGCGGCGGCGUUGAGUGGCUGUCCCCCGUCGGAGCUAGGCGAGAAAGGAGCGGGCGGCGGCGCCGCAACUUCACAUCCCGGAUCCGUCCGAACCACAUGAAGAUUCGUGGAGUGUUGUUGCCCCUUCAGGCUACCUGAUGUUGGGCCGAGAGCCUUGGACGAAGAUAGGUCAUCGCCAUGAACGAGUCAACAUGUGUGUUUGCUAGAGUGGACGAACCGUGUUCUUAGUGACAUCUACUUCACUUUUUUACGUAUCAAAAGGAUCGAACGAUUAAAAGCCUUUUAUCUAUGUUGAUAAAUUUAUUCUCUUAUAAAUUUUCAUGUUUUUUCCAAUUCGGUACAUUUGUAACAAACCAUGGUGUUCAAAAUAUUUGUACCUCGUGA